This 450-nucleotide ribosomal RNA is filed under the name uncultured bacterium. Its description in RNAcentral is "partial 16S ribosomal RNA". It matches the Rfam family "Bacterial small subunit ribosomal RNA", at positions 354 to 796 of the family's 1533-position model. The record is from RNAcentral.
GUGGGGAAUAUUGGACAAUGGGCGAAAGCCUGAUCCAGCCAUGCCGCGUGUGUGAAGAAGGUCUUCGGAUUGUAAAGCACUUUAAGUUGGGAGGAAGGGCAGUAAGUUAAUACCUUGCUGUUUUGACGUUACCGACAGAAUAAGCACCGGCUAACUUCGUGCCAGCAGCCGCGGUAAUACGAAGGGUGCAAGCGUUAAUCGGAAUUACUGGGCGUAAAGCGCGCGUAGGUGGUUUUGUAAGUUGGAGGUGAAAUCCCCGGGCUCAACCUGGGAACGGCCUCCAAAACUGCAUGACUAGAGUACGGUAGAGGGUAGUGGAAUUUCCUGUGUAGCGGUGAAAUGCGUAGAUAUAGGAAGGAACACCAGUGGCGAAGGCGACUACCUGGACUGAUACUGACACUGAGGUGCGAAAGCGUGGGGAGCAAACAGGAUUAGAAACCCUGGUAGUCC